AGUGGCGAACGGGUGAGUAAUACAUCGGAACGUACCUUAUCGUGGGGGAUAACGCAGCGAAACGUUGCUAAUACCGCAUACGCCCUGAGGGGGAAAGCGGGGGAUCGAAAGACCUCGCGCGAUUAGAGCGGCCGAUGCCUGAUUAGCUUGUUGGUGGGGUAAAAGCCCACCAAGGCGACGAUCAGUAGCUGGUCUGAGAGGACGAUCAGCCACACUGGGACUGAGACACGGCCCAGACUCCUACGGGAGGCAGCAGUGGGGGAUUUUGGACAAUGGGGGCAACCCUGAUCCAGCAAUGCCGCGUGAGUGAAGAAGGCCUUCGGGUUGUAAAGCUCUUUUGU
Molecule: ribosomal RNA, 341 nt
Filed under: uncultured eubacterium 4-41
Lineage: Bacteria; Pseudomonadati; Pseudomonadota; Betaproteobacteria
Description: bacterial SSU rRNA
Rfam family: Bacterial small subunit ribosomal RNA
Source: RNAcentral